ACACACAAAACUACUCCAGAUCAUGUAAGACAAUGGAGAAACAUACAAUUUAGGAAAUCUACCUCGAGGAGGGUGGGAUAAACAUGAUUCCACAAAAGGGGUGCCACUUGAAAAUCUUCCCACCUCAGCCUCUUGAACAGCUUAAUCCCCAGGAAUGCAUCAUCAUGCUCAGCUAAGUUUUGUAUUUUUAUUUUUUCUGUAGAGACAGGGUUCCGCCCUAUUGCCCAAGCUGGCCUCAAACUCCUAAGCUGAAGCAAUACUCCCACUUUGGCCUCCCAAAGUGCUGAGAUUACCAUGCCUGGAAUAAAUUUAUUUUUAUCUAAAAAUCAGAGGCCUUAAUCUGAUGUUGCAUUUCAUAACCAGGACUUUAAUUCAAAUAAGCAGAUAAGUCAGCAGUAAAGAAAACACAGAAGUUGGGUUAUGAAACUGUGGGGCCACAGAAAAAUUUGAAUUCAGAUCCUGGAUGUUAGGCUUAAAUAUAUGAUGUAUUUCUUUCCUCCUUAUAAUAAAAGGAGAUAAAAUUGAGCUAACCUGGCAUUCUAAGUUCCUCUGAACUCAGGGAACUCUUCCUCUUUCGAUAAUUAAUUCCUACAAUGAUAAAACCAAUUAAGGUAGCACUUCUUCGAAGAAAAAGAGAGGAACUAGGAAUUUGUAUCUUUAUUUUCUUUGUAUCUUUUUUCCUUUUCAUAAAGAAACAGUAAAAUAAAGGAAAAUAUCCUUAGCUAAGUAGGUCUGAUCUAGUGUGCUGUGAUUCUGAGUGAUCUUCAAACUACCUUGAGUAACGUUUCUGGCCUGGACACCUAGCUCACUGUGAUUACUGUGGUGAUAUUUAAAAAAUUGUUUAUAUAUGACUCUCAUUACAUACUCCACAGAAUUUUACACAUCAGUCGUUCUACCACUUUCAAAUAUCAUAGUGAUACAGUGAUGACACAUUUAAUGGAAAUAAGUUAUAUUGCUAUAACCUGAAUCAUAUUUACAAAAGUCCUUUUUCACAUCCUUUUCACUCUAAGGUAGCCCAGGUUUCCUUCUGACUCUGACGUUGUGCCUCCAACAGUAAAUAUCAAGCCUCUUAAGUUGAAUUGCUAUUAUGGCACUCAUGGAACGAGACAUGACAUAAUUCAGUAAUUUGGCUCAAUUGCUACUCUAUAAUCAAUCUGUUCAUUGUUGACCAUGAAUUUUUAAGGAUAGCUCCCAGGUAGAUUAGCAGAUUGCUAACUGUGCGUUCAUCAUUUCCUUCUUUUCUUUGGAGCCUUGUCAAUGUCUGUAACCAAAGUGUCACUGGAAAAGGCAGUGAACUGGGCAGUGAUAAAAAAUACAGAAUAAUUUUUGUGAAAUAAUUACGGGAUACUUACUAUGUGCCAAGCAUAGAAAAAGGUACUGGGAAUUCAACAAUUAAAAAACAAAACAUAUAUGACUCCUACUCUCAGAGGUCUGACAACUAAAUGGGAGAGACAUUUUAAAAACUGUUUUUGUGCGACGUGACAAGUGCCCCAGAGGAGCAGUGUUAGGCGCGAGAGGAGCCUGUGAGAGUGGCGCCCACCCUGGACCUGCAGAAGAAGAGCCUGCUUUCUACAUGUAACUAGAGGCCAUUGUUUUAAGUGAAAUAACUCAGAAACAGAAAGUCAAACACCGUAUGUUCUCAUUGAUAAGUGGGAGCGAAAUAGCAUGUACUGAUAGAAAAACAGAGUGAAAUAAUAGACGUUGGAGACUUGGACAGGGUGGAGGUUUAGAAGGGAACGAAGGAUGAAAAGUCACUUAAUGGGCACACUGUACACUAUUUGGAUGAUGGUUACACUAAAAGCCCAGGUUUUACCACUGUGCGGUGUAUCCAUGUAUAAACAGUGUGCUUGUACCCUCUACAUCUGAUAAAAAGGAAGAAGAAAAAAAGUGUGAUAUCUCAUGUGAAAAAUAGGUAUACAUAUAAUGGAAAGAUAUAUCUAUUGUUAGAAAAAAGUAGUUUGUCCUUGCUGGGGUUUGAAUGUGUUCCCCAAGAAGCAUGUGUUGGAAACUUAAACUCCUGAUGCUACAGGGAGAUGGGGCUUAAUGAAAGGUGUUUAGAUCAUGAGCUUCAGCUUCAUCAAUGGAUUCAUGGCACUUAUAAAAGCGCUUGGUGCUGCUCAUUUGAUCUCUUGCUCUCUGUCAUUCACUCUUUGCUCUUUUUCAUGACAUGACACAGCAAGAAGACCCUUGCCAGAUGCCAGCCCUUGGAUCUUUUACUUCCCAACCCCCAGAACCGCUAGUCAGUAAAGUUCUGUUCGUUAGAAAUGUACUCAGUCUCAGGCUUUCUGUUACAGCAGCACAAAAUACGCUAAGACAGUCCUGAUGAAGGUAAAAUGUAUGCCACGGCUUGUAAGUAACACAGAAUCCGUUUGUCAGUUACAAGGAUUUAGAGUAGACAAAGUGGCUAGAAUACCAAAAGACAGGGCAGGAGGCCGUGAGACUUGAGGCAACAAGAAAAUUGAGGUGCCGAGUUGAAUCUAGCUCAGUUGGUUGGGAGAGUUCAAAUUGCUUCUGGUAUUUUAUCUUCAGUGCUUGUACUGUAGAAUAUACAUUUUGCUUAGAAAUGCUCAAUUUCUCUUGGAAUACACUCAUUUAGCAAAUAUUUAUUGUACUAUUUUUUAUCUGAGGACAGAAACGGUCUGGCUGUUCUCAAGUGUCUUAUUUCAGGAAAGAGCACAGCGCCUGAAACACAGUAAGCAUACAAUGCCUAUUUGCUAUUUAUUUGUUGAUUUGCUUUACUCAUUAAAAUGGGGGCAAAAAGUGUGUCUUUCCAACAUCUUAAAAGAAUGUCUGGUAGCGAAUGUAUGUUCAACUAAUUUUUAUUACAUGAAUAAAUGUUGAGGCUCAUCUUAUUCUUUCCCUGCCUCAGCCUUAGAAUCAGCCAUUUCUCCAAAAGUUCUGGUUUCUUUAAGAGGAAGACAGUAUUUGAAAGUCAAGGUCUGAGGUCUCUGUGUGCUCAUUAUUACUGGAGUAUCUUAUUUCUAGUUCCUUUCAGUGGAGGGAGAGCUAGCAAAGGUAAAUUAUAGAUAGACAGAUAGAAUAGAUAGAUAGAUACAUCUGUAACUAUGAGUUCAUAUUGGUGCCUCCAAUUCUAGUCUAAUACUUCAGAGUUAUUCUCGCCUUCUACCUUUCCAUGUUUUAAAGUAUGGUUUCCACCUGAGAUAAACCUGGCUGUCAUCAUUUAUAAGGCCUUUAUUUAUUUGCUCAAUUAAAGUAAUUAUUUGCUCAAUGUAAUGAACCUCCAGACCACCCCUGGAUGUCUCCUCCACCUGCCAGUUCCUCACCCGCCUUGAAUGCACUUCUGCCUGACUCUCCUUAUCUGCUGCAGAAUCCUGCAUGCCUCCAAGAAGCCUUCAUAUAUGGCUCCCCCUCCCCAGGUAGAUCCUGACACCUCCAUACCAGGAAGAAAGAAGGAAAAAAAUAAUUGAAAGAGAAGAUGGAAAGGGAAAGUUAGAAAGAAAUGGACAGUGGGAAGGACGAAGGUAAAGAAGCGUGGCUGUGUUAUAGAAGCCAAUGAAGGUGCAGGAGCAGAAAACAACUGAGGCUCGACCCGUGAGGGCCUGUGAGACUGGGUACUGCCUCCCUCCGCAUCCUCAGCUGCCUGGAGGAGAGUGAGGCAAUUAAUGCUUCAUUCAGAAACCCAUGCUUCUGUUGGCAACCCAUCCAUCUUCAUCCCCCGAAACUAUCAAGAACUGUGAAGAAUCUGAGAUGUUUGUCCUACUUGCAAGGUAACAGGUUAGCCUGUGCGUUUCAUGAAUGAGUUGGAGAAAAAGAAACCUAAUUAUUCACGCAUAGCUAGAAGAGUAAGUUGCACUUUUGCUUUGCUUCCCCUUGUCGAUCCAAUGUCUGAAUAUUCAUUUUAUAUUUCAUUAUCUUGUGUAUGAACAUUUCAAAGUAUCCUUUUGAAUUUUCCAGAUACACAAUAAUAUUAUCAUCAAAUAAUGACAGUUCUUCACGCAUAUAUUCCACUUUCAAUAGGGAGAAAAUUUUCCGGAUUUUAAUUAUAAAAGAGGAAACUCAGAUUCUAGUUCUGGGCAUAAAUUGUUCCUUUCCACUGAUUGAUAUUUACUGGGUGUGUUCUAUGUAUCAGAAUCCAGGAAUCCUCAUCCCAAAAAGCAAAGAAAAGGAAGAAGCUGGCGUUUUGUUCAUUCCUCAGGAAAAAAAAAAUCCAUUAUUCAUUUGUAAAUUGACUUAUUGAUAUUUACUGAUAAGAAAAAGAAAAAAGUUUGAUAGCAUUUAGUUUGUAAAUAAACAUUUGUUUCUUAUUUUUGAGGUAUAAUAUAUUAAGCGAAUUUAGUGUUGAACUGCUUGCUACAUUUCAUAAAAACAUCAAUGAUGAGAACAGACAUGCGAAAGCAAUUCAACAUUGCCUAAACUGAUAAAUGCAAUUUUAUUAUGCUAGAUUAAAUAAAUAUAAUAUAGUUUAAAUCAUAUUGUUAAAGAACAAGAGAUGUAAAAUAUGACUACUAUAUUCAUAUAAUAAUACAAAUAUCUGUGUACGGUUUUACCAUUUGAAUACAUUGACUGGGUAACACUGCUAGAUAUAAAGCAUUAGACAGAAUAUAUCGUGUUUAAAGUGUAGGCUCUGAAAUCUGACAGGGUUCAAAUCUAGGCAAUUUACUGACAAAAUGAUUGACACUGGGCAUGUUGAAAUCUCUUGGGAACCGAAGCUGUUCAUCUAUAAAAUGAGAAAAAUAGUAAUGCCUACCUUACAGGGUUCUCAUAGGAUUAAAGGCGUUACUGAAGACAGAGUGCUUAGAACAGUGCUUGGCAAAGAGUAAACAUUCAAUAAAUGUGAGGACACGUAAGAUGAGAUGAGACAUUGAAUUUAAGCAAAGUGAAAGUCUUUGACCUGACCUCAUUUCUGCUUUUGUAGAAUUGGCCAUUGUACAGUGUGCAGUCUGUACGAUUCUAAGUUCAUACAGCCUGUUUCUAUGGUUAGAUGAUUCGAAGUUCCAGGUCAGAGACAGGAUCAAUUGUUAGAAAAGCAAAUGGUCAUUUGCUUGUU
Molecule: long non-coding RNA, 5008 nt
Organism: Sapajus apella (tufted capuchin)
Lineage: Eukaryota; Metazoa; Chordata; Mammalia; Primates; Cebidae
Exons: 3
Source: RefSeq, a predicted model, not a curated record